RNA transcript from Malania oleifera, 1843 nucleotides. It is a transcript of the gene named mitochondrial fission protein ELM1, with no coding region annotated. NCBI's taxonomy places the organism in Eukaryota, Viridiplantae, Streptophyta, Magnoliopsida, Santalales, Ximeniaceae. The transcript has 11 exons. The record is from RefSeq and is a predicted model, not a curated record.
AGUAUAAUUAAUUAAAAAUAAAAAUAGAAGUAGAUGUUCGGGUUCCAUUCUAAAAGGGCGACGCGAAGAGAUCAGUGAAGAAAUUUCCCUUGUUCUCCAACCACUCGCAGUUGUCCCAGACUGUGUCAUGAGGCCAAUAAGGCUUCCCGAACCCCCCAGUACUUCUCCCGGAGUGCCGGAGAUCUUCGAAGGCGCCAUCUAUGGCGUUAUCCGCCGGGCCGUCGUCAUCGGUAAUGGCUUUCCGGGCUCCGAGAACCAAAGCAUCGGAUUGGUUCGAGCUCUUGGCUUCUCCGACAAGCAACCUCUCUAUCGAGUUACAAGGCCGAGAGGAGGAAUUAAUGAGUGGCUUCACUGGCUCCCUGUUUCUCUUCACAAAAAGUUAUAUUAUGUUAUAAGGCAGAUCUGUGGUUAUUCCCAGACUUUGCUAGCAGUUAGAGGGAAGAAACUUGUGCCUGUAGCUAUGGAAAAUGGUUGCAGCAAAGGUUUAUCUUCUGUUUUAGAAGCUGAUGUAAAUCAUAUUGUUUCCAUGGCUCGUGAAACUUUUGAAAAGGAUGGCCCAUUAUUGGUGGUUGCUUCUGGCAGGGAUACUGUUUCUAUUGCAAGCUCCAUAAAACGAUUGGCAUCUGAAAAAGUUUUUGUUGUUCAGAUACAACAUCCAAGGUCACAUUUGAAUAGGUUUGACAUGGUGAUAACCCCACGUCACGAUUAUUACCCUCUGACUCCUCAUGCACAGGAGCAGGUUCCUCGUCUUCUCCGCAGAUGGAUAACUCCACGCGAACCUCCUGAUAGGCAUGUGAUACUCACAGUAGGAGCUCUACACCCACUUGAUUCUGCCGCCUUGAGGGGUGCAGCUGUUGCCUGGCAUGAUGAGUUUGCAUCACUGCCAAAGCCCUUGCUGGUGGUUAACAUUGGAGGACCUACAAAGCACUGCCGAUAUGGUGUGGACCUAGGAAAGCAGUUAACAGACGCUUUGUACAACGUUCUCCCAAGCUGUGGGAGCAUAAGAAUAUCUUUCUCAAGGAGGACCCCUGAAAAGAUAUCAAACAUUAUAGUGAAAGAACUUGGGAGUCAUCCAAAAGUGUACAUAUGGGACGGGAAGGAGCCAAAUCCACACAUGGGCCAUCUUGCUUGGGCUGAUGCCUUUGUCAUCACAGCGGACUCUGUCAGCAUGUUAAGUGAGGCCUGCAGCACUGGGAAGCCUGUCUAUGUUGUUGGAGCUGAGCGAUGUACUUGGAAGUUUCUGGACUUCCACAAGUCCUUGAGGGAAAGAGGGGUGGUUCGGCCAUUUAUGGGCCGGGAGGAUAUCUCACAAAAUUGGAGCUAUCCCCCACUUAAUGAUGCUGGAGAAGCAGCCGCUAGGGUGCGCGAAGCAAUUGCAGAGCGAGGAUGGGUGUUGCGGCCAAGGGGAACCUUCUAGCUAUUUUUGUCGUUUCAUUUUUUUGAGUAAAUUUUGUUUGAAGGUGUGAUUUUAUCAUGUGUCCAGGAGCAGCGAUUGACUGUGGAUAGGUUGAGUUUUCACGGCUCAAUUCUUUUUCCCCGCAUGGGGGUGGGGUGGUCUUCGGCAGCAUGACAGGGUGAUUUCCUUUAUAUAAUCGUGGAAGGAGCAAGUGGAGAUUUACACGCAUGGAAAACAUGAGAGAGAUGGGGCACGUAUGUUGAAGACAUGGAUUGUGACAUCCACCAUUUAUUUCACCACACUCUUUCUUGGAUGUCACACAUAUAUUAACUUAACUAGUUAAGAUCUUUAAGAUAUCUCAUUCCGAUAAAAUAAAUCAGUCUCUUGAAUGUUGUAGUUGACAAAGUUUUGGUGAAUAAAUCUAGUAGACUAUCACUUGAUUGGAUC